Molecule: non-coding RNA, 110 nt
Organism: Acanthosepion pharaonis
Lineage: Eukaryota; Metazoa; Mollusca; Cephalopoda; Sepiida; Sepiidae
Source: the annotation of a GenBank genome assembly
ACGACCAUAUCCCAUUGAAACCGGUUCCAGUAGGAUCACCGAACUUAAGCAACGCCGAGCCUGGGCAGUACCUAGAUGGGUGACAGCUUGGGAAUACCAGGUGCUGUAAG